CGUCAGAUAUUGGUGUCGCUC
This 21-nucleotide non-coding RNA is filed under the name Arabidopsis thaliana (thale cress). Lineage: Eukaryota; Viridiplantae; Streptophyta; Magnoliopsida; Brassicales; Brassicaceae. The record is from RNAcentral.